Molecule: ribosomal RNA, 678 nt
Filed under: uncultured bacterium
Lineage: Bacteria
Description: bacterial SSU rRNA
Rfam family: Bacterial small subunit ribosomal RNA
Source: RNAcentral
AGAGUUUGAUCCUGGCUCAGGAUGAACGCUGGCGGCGUGCUUAACACAUGCAAGUCGAACGAUGAUCCGGUGCUUGCGCCGGGGAUUAGUGGCGAACGGGUGAGUAACACGUGAGUAACCUGCCCUUGACUCUGGGAUAAGCCUGGGAAACUGGGUCUAAUACCGGAUAUGACUCCUCAUCGCAUGGUGGGGGGUGGAAAGCUUUUUGUGGUUUUGGAUGGACUCGCGGCCUAUCAGCUUGUUGGUGGGGUAAUGGCCUACCAAGGCGACGACGGGUAGCCGGCCUGAGAGGGUGACCGGCCACACUGGGACUGAGACACGGCCCAGACUCCUACGGGAGGCAGCAGUGGGGAAUAUUGCACAAUGGGCGAAAGCCUGAUGCAGCGACGCCGCGUGAGGGAUGACGGCCUUCGGGUUGUAAACCUCUUUCAGUAGGGAAGAAGCCCUCUUUGGGGGUGACGGUACUUGCAGAAGAAGCGCCGGCUAACUACGUGCCAGCAGCCGCGGUAAUACGUAGGGCGCAAGCGUUAUCCGGAAUUAUUGGGCGUAAAGAGCUCGUAGGCGGUUUGUCGCGUCUGCUGUGAAAGACCGGGGCUCAACUCCGGUUCUGCAGUGGGUACGGGCAGACUAGAGUGCAGUAGGGGAGACUGGAAUUCCUGGUGUAGCGGUGAAAUGCGC